This 393-nucleotide ribosomal RNA is filed under the name uncultured bacterium. RNAcentral describes it as "partial 16S ribosomal RNA". It matches the Rfam family "Bacterial small subunit ribosomal RNA", at positions 523 to 918 of the family's 1533-position model. The record is from RNAcentral.
AUACGGAAGGUCCGGGCGUUAUCCGGAUUUAUUGGGUUUAAAGGGAGCGCAGGCGGAGAUGCAAGCGUGACGUCAAAUUUCGGGGCUCAACCCCGUCUCGCGUCGCGAACUGCGUCCCUUGGUUGCGGGAAGGGGAGGCGGAACUCGUGGUGUAGCGGGUAAAUGCAUAGAUAUCACGAAGAACUCCGAUCGCGAAGGCAGCCUUCCGGCCCGUCAACGACGCUCAUGCUCGAAGGUACGGGUAUCAAACAGGAUUAGAUACCCUGGUAGUCCGCACAGUAAACGAUGGACACCCGCGGUUUGGCCUAUAUGGCUGAGCCGCCAAGCGAAAGCGUUAAGUGUCCCACCUGGGGAGUACGCCGGCAACGGUGAAACUCAAAUGAAUUGACGGGG